This 745-nucleotide ribosomal RNA is filed under the name uncultured Enterobacteriaceae bacterium. Its description in RNAcentral is "bacterial SSU rRNA". It matches the Rfam family "Bacterial small subunit ribosomal RNA", at positions 9 to 744 of the family's 1533-position model. Lineage: Bacteria; Pseudomonadati; Pseudomonadota; Gammaproteobacteria; Enterobacterales; Enterobacteriaceae. The record is from RNAcentral.
AGGUUUGAUUCUGGCUCAGAUUGAACGCUGGCGGCAGGUCUAACACAUGCAAGUCGAACGGUAACAGGAAGCAGCUUGCUGCUUCGCUGACGAGUGGCGGACGGGUGAGUAAUGUCUGGGAAACUGCCUGAUGGAGGGGGAUAACUACUGGAAACGGUAGCUAAUACCGCAUAACGUCGCAAGACCAAAGAGGGGGACCUUCGGGCCUCUUGCCAUCAGAUGUGCCCAGAUGGGAUUAGCUAGUAGGUGGGGUAACGGCUCACCUAGGCGACGAUCCCUAGCUGGUCUGAGAGGAUGACCAGCCACACUGGAACUGAGACACGGUCCAGACUCCUACGGGAGGCAGCAGUGGGGAAUAUUGCACAAUGGGCGCAAGCCUGAUGCAGCCAUGCCGCGUGUAUGAAGAAGGCCUUCGGGUUGUAAAGUACUUUCAGCGGGGAGGAAGGUGCUGAGGUUAAUAACCUCAGCAAUUGACGUUACCCGCAGAAGAAGCACCGGCUAACUCCGUGCCAGCAGCCGCGGUAAUACUGAGGGUGCAAGCGUUAAUCGGAAUUACUGGGCGUAAAGCGCACGCAGGCGGUCUGUCAAGUCGGAUGUGAAAUCCCCGGGCUAACCUGGGAACUGCAUUCAAACUGGCAGGCUAGAGUCUUGUAGAGGGGGGUAGAAUUCCGGUGUAACGGUGAAAUGCGUAGAGAUCCUGGUAGGAUACCGGUUGGCGAAGGCGGCCCCCUGGACAAAGACUGAC